RNAcentral lists this small RNA (28 nucleotides) under Bombyx mori (domestic silkworm). RNAcentral's name for it is "ovarian small RNA-30645". Lineage: Eukaryota; Metazoa; Arthropoda; Insecta; Lepidoptera; Bombycidae. The record is from RNAcentral.
UGAACAACUUCGAGAGGUGUGCCAUCAA